This 64-nucleotide transfer RNA is filed under the name Geodermatophilus obscurus DSM 43160. It matches the Rfam family "tRNA". Rfam says of the family: Transfer RNA (tRNA) molecules are approximately 80 nucleotides in length. Their secondary structure includes four short double-helical elements and three loops (D, anti-codon, and T loops). Further hydrogen bonds mediate the characteristic L-shaped molecular structure. tRNAs have two regions of fundamental functional importance: the anti-codon, which is responsible for specific mRNA codon recognition, and the 3' end, to which the tRNAs corresponding amino acid is attached (by aminoacyl-tRNA synthetases). tRNAs cope with the degeneracy of the genetic code in two manners: having more than one tRNA (with a specific anti-codon) for a particular amino acid; and 'wobble' base-pairing, i.e. permitting non-standard base-pairing at the 3rd anti-codon position. The record is from Rfam by way of RNAcentral. Lineage: Bacteria; Bacillati; Actinomycetota; Actinomycetes; Geodermatophilales; Geodermatophilaceae.
GUCCCCGUGAUCUUGCAGGUGCCUUCUAAGCACUUGGUCGCAGGUUCGAUCCCUGCCGGGCGCG